UCGAGCUCAUCCACAGCAUCCGCGCAUUCUGCCUUCUGCGUUACUGACCAUUCUCUCGCGCUCCCCUCUCUCUGUGCUCUCCCCUCUGCCGCACUUCGCUAUCAGACCAUGUCGCUCGUCCGGAAGACACUCGCCGUCCUGCUGGCGAUCGCCCUCCUCGCCGUCUGCGCGAAGGCGGAGGUGGUCGAGCUCAACCCGGCGAACUUUCACAACGUUGUGAAGGACCCGUCCAAGAACGUCUUCGUCAUGUUCUACGCCCCGUGGUGCGGCCACUGCAACAACAUGAAGCCGACGUGGCUGGAGCUGGCGGACAAGUACCCCAUCGUGGGGGACGUCAUCAUCGCCCGCAUCGACGCCAGCGAGUACCGCGGCAUCGCGAAGGAGUUCGACAUCCAUGGCUUCCCGACACUGAAGUUUUUCUCCAAGAGGGACAAAUCAGGUAAAAUGGAGUACGAGGGCCCGCGCGAGCUCUCCGCCUUCGUGGCGUACGUGGCGGCCAACAAGCAGUGAAGAUGCACCGCCGCAACGGUGCACCUUCGCCAGGCGGUAAUUUUAGAAUGCUGCCGCGACGCAACAGAGUGCCAGAGCAAGACGACCGGACGGAGGAGGGGCCAGGGGCAGCGUGGGCGGUGAGUCGGUGAGGCGCGGCGACGUGGAUCACACGGCGAGGACAGGCAAGACGCCCCCUAGUGGCAUCGACAGCAUUGCACGUACAGGCAACGGGCCUACGCACAGUAUGCAGGCGGGUCUGCAUGUGCGCAUGGGUCUAUGCCCCCGACACCCGUCCAGGAGAGACCUUCGCUGCCUACGCUCUUCCCUAUCACGCUCAUCCCUGCCAUCAACGUGCCGUUCACUCGUCUUCCUCAUCCCGCCUGCCCCUCCAUGCAUCCUCCUCCGUCCAUCGCGGGCGCCCCACUCUCUCUGCGCGCCGCCUCUCUGCCUCUUUAUUUUUUGUAUUUCUUUCUGUAUGUUCGGUGGUCUUAUCAUCGACGCCUCCUACACGCGCGUGCACGCGCACACGCCAUGGUGACGAGGUGCACGGCUGAAUCCUCUGGCGGUGAGAAUCGCUGCAUGACAGCACCUGCACGCGAGGCACAGAGGGCUGGAUGCCUGCCUCUUUAUCUUGCGUAGAUGU
This 1135-nucleotide unclassified non-coding RNA is filed under the name Leishmania donovani. RNAcentral describes it as "gene:LdHU3.06.1230(CDS-product:protein_disulfide_ isomerase)". Lineage: Eukaryota; Euglenozoa; Kinetoplastea; Trypanosomatida; Trypanosomatidae. The record is from RNAcentral.